RNAcentral lists this long non-coding RNA (585 nucleotides) under Nicotiana benthamiana. RNAcentral describes it as "long non-coding RNA (NBEN_LNC035489)". Lineage: Eukaryota; Viridiplantae; Streptophyta; Magnoliopsida; Solanales; Solanaceae. The record is from RNAcentral.
GGAGAAGGACCCCCCCUUUGUGUGUCGUCUUCUCCACCCUUCAACCCAAACGACCCCUCGUCGGAAAACCAGUCGCGCAACCUUGGGAGAGGACCUUACGCCUGAAUAUGGAGGCUGCGCAGGAUACUCCCAUGGUGGCCUUUUUCUGAAGCUGGGAGAUGCCUGAUAACAAUACACGAGGCUGCGCAGAGGGUGCAAAGAACGCCCCCACCCCUUUUGGCCAUCUUCUUCGCACCACCAAACCAAACAUGGACCUAUGAUUUCUCACGUUAAACUAGCCACCGAAAACCUCCAUCUUCUUCAUCUCUCGUCGUGAACUCACAUAGGCACCCCUCCGCAUCGUCUUUUCUAAACCAACAGCACACACACAUAGAGUCACGUAAAAAAUAGAAACGGGACAGAAAUAAAAAUGGCCUCAAGUUCGUGGAAUAUUUGAAAAUCAGAGAAAAAAUUAAAACAAAAAUGAAAAAAAAAUAAAGAAAGACGUCUGUUCUUCUGGUUCAAUGAUUUUCGUUCCAGAAAUGGACGUGUUUGAGUUCAAGGCCAGUCCUAGUUCGUGAAAUCAAAGUGUUGUUUGAGGUUGCC